Molecule: ribosomal RNA, 223 nt
Filed under: uncultured bacterium
Lineage: Bacteria
Description: partial 16S ribosomal RNA
Rfam family: Bacterial small subunit ribosomal RNA
Source: RNAcentral
CGUGGGUAACCUGCCUGGUAGCGGGGGGUAACUAUUGGAAACGAUAGCUAAUACCGCAUAACAGUCGACAUUGCAUGAUGUUGAUUUGAAAGGGGCAAUUGCUCCACUACCAGAUGGACCUGCGUUGUAUUAGCUAGUUGGUGAGGUAACGGCUCACCAAGGCGACGAUACAUAGCCGACCUGAGAGGGUGAUCGGCCACACUGGGACUGAGACACGGCCCAG